GUGGGUUCGAACCCCACUUCUGACAUGUCUUUACCGUUUUAUAGUCCACUUUGGACAAUAAUUUAUUUUGACUCGCUAACUUUUUCAAGGUGGCAGAAAACGUUUGUCUUUGCUUUAUUUGUGUGUCAGGAUGGCCGAGUGGUCUAAGGCGCCAGACUUAAGGUUUGACUCCUUUCUCAGGAAAGAGACUUCUGGUCUCCAAUUGGAGUCGUGGGUUCGAACCCCACUUCUGACAUGUCUUUACCGUUUUAUAAUCCCCUUUGGACACUAAAUUAUUUUGACUCGCUAACUUUUUCAAGGUGGCCGAACACGUUUGUCUUUCCUUUAUUUGUGUGUCAGGAUGGCCGAGUGGUCUAAGGCGCCAGACUUAAGGUUCGGCUCUGUAUGCAGUAAAGAGACUUCUGGUCUCCAAUUGGAGUCGUGGGUUCGAACCCCACUUCUGACAUGUCUUUACCGUUUUAUAAUCCACUUUGGACCCUAAAUUAUUUUGACUCGCUAACUUUUUCAAGGUGGCAGAAAACGUUUGUCUUUCCUUUGUUUGUGUGUCAGGAUGGCCGAGUGGUCUAAGGCGCCAGACUCAAGGUUUGACUCCUU
Molecule: long non-coding RNA, 594 nt
Organism: Gasterosteus aculeatus aculeatus (three-spined stickleback)
Lineage: Eukaryota; Metazoa; Chordata; Actinopteri; Perciformes; Gasterosteidae
Source: Ensembl